UAGGGAGAACACGUCAAUGGAAGGGGGGGGGUGUAAUCUAAGAUAGCACAAGGGUUAAAGUUCAAUGUUCUUCUAAUGUUUGCUUUUCUAAACAUUAACAGAACGGUUCGUUAGGAUUGUGUGGUUCUACUUUAAACGGAGGUUUUUAUUUGACAUCUUCUUUUUUGUUUUAUUUUUUAGUCUGUCUCAGACCGGGGUGGUCACCGGAAAUGACGUCUCGGUGCUUUUAUUUUGUACACCAAGCUUCCGUGUGAUUCUCAUAUUUCAUUUCUCUCCAGAGCCCCGCAGGUCAGUACCGCGGGAAGUCCGAACCCGCACCUCGUCGCGGUGCCACGCCGUCCCGCUCCCGGUGACCGGGUGACGGUUCCCCUCCGCCGGAGCUGCCAUGGAUCCGCUCGGCGACACUCGGCCGGCAGAAGCCGAACCCGCCCGGAUGAGCCGCAGACAGACCCUGACCCUGGUGUCCAUGGCGUCCGUGAACUUCAGCUCCAUGCUCUGUUACUCCAUCCUGGGUCCGUUCUUCCCUAACGAGGCCGUGAAGAAAGGAGCCAACCAGACUGUGGUGGGACUCAUAUUUGGCUGCUACGCCAUCUGCAACCUGAUUGGCUCUUUGGUCCUGGGGAGAUACAUCGUCCAGAUCGGGACCAAGUUCAUGCUCGUCGCAGGACUCUUCGUGUCUGCGGGCUGCACCAUCAUGUUUGGGUUGCUGGACCGCGCUCCUGCAGGGCCCACCUUCAUUGCGCUGUGCUUCAUCGUGAGGUCGGUGGACGCCGUGGGCUUCGCUGCUGCCAUGACCUCCACGUUUGCCAUGACAGCAAAAAUCUUCCCCAACAAUGUGGCGACUGUCCUGGGCAGUUUGGAGGUCUUCACAGGGCUGGGGCUUAUCGUGGGCCCCCCUGUGGGGGGCUGGUUCUACCACUCUUUCGGAUACGAGGUUCCCUUCAUGCUCCUUGGAUGCCUGCUGCUGAUCAUGGUUCCGUUCAACCUUUAUGUCCUGCCGUCCAUCGAGGCCGACCCAUCCAAGGACUCGUUCCUGCGGCUCCUCAGCCACGUCAAAGUCCUCUUGAUCUGUUUUGUGAUCUUUACGCUGAGCUCGGGUCUGGGCUUCUUUGACGCCACGCUGUCGCUGUACGCCAUGAAAACGUUCAACCUGUCCUCGGGCUACGUGGGGCUCAUCAUGCUGGGCCUGUCCUUGCCGUACUGUCUGGCCUCACCUCUGAUUGGUUACUUCACCGACAAAUACCCUGACUCCAGGAUCGGACUCACGGUGACGGGGGGCAUCGUCACAGCGAUGGGGUUCUGCUUGCUUGGUCCCGCCCCUUUCCUUCACAUUUCCAGUCAGCUGUGGUUGCUGGUGCUCAUGCUGGGCCUAAUCGGGUUUUCUCUGGGGAUGACGGCCAUCCCCACGUUCCCGGAGAUCAUCGUCUGUGCUCGAGAGAAAGGCUUGGAGGAGGGCCUCAGCACCCUGGGGAUGGUCUCUGGGUUGUUUGGUGCAUUUUGGUCCACGGGAAUGUUUUACGGCCCCAUUGUGGGCGGCCUUAUCACCCAACAUCUGACCUUUGAGUGGGCCGCCACCAUCCAGGGGGGCGUGGGCCUUCUGGCUGCCCUCCUCCUGGGGAUGUACUCCCUCUGGGAGCGCCGGCGGGGGAGCGUGCAGCAAACAGCAGAAAGCACUCCUUUGCUGGACUGAGGAAACAUCUAGGGGCGGGGCCAGCCGCUCUGCUCACGGAGAGAAGAUCUGAACGCCAUUCCUGCCAGAACGGGCCUUUGUCCGGAGCUUUUCCUGCUUAACAGCUUAGGUCUGGAAAGAAAUGGAUCCUUCAGGAACUCAGCCAGACAUGUUUGUGUUGGGGUAACUGGAUCUGUGUGGUUCUGGAGGAUAUAGGAGCUUCUUACCUGGCGUCAGUCAGUUCUGGUUCAGUGUCUGACAGAGUGGGUUCGGACAGAAACCUGAGCUCUCCGGACGAGCUGACAGCAGCAGAGACCUGAAAACCAGGAGGGGGUCAGAGAGGAACAGUUCAGACAAAGUCCGUCUUUAGAUCAUGACAUUCCUGAAUGAUCCGGAUCGGCCGUCUUCCUGUUAAAUAUAAGCCGGAUUUCAGGAAGAUGGUCUUUGUUCAGCAUGAAGUCAGUCAAUACUUUAGUUUGCAUUAACAUGAGCAGAGAAGGCAGAGUUUGGUUCAUGUCUAAUAAAAAAAGAAACUGAC
This is a non-coding RNA of Oryzias latipes (Japanese medaka), 2207 nucleotides long. Lineage: Eukaryota; Metazoa; Chordata; Actinopteri; Beloniformes; Adrianichthyidae. The record is from RefSeq and is a predicted model, not a curated record.